AGUCAGUUAACACCAGUUCUCGUACGAUCACCGAAGUUAAGCAAAAUAGAGCUUGGUCAAUACCGGGAUGAGUGACCGCCCAGGAAUACCUAGGCGCUGUAA
This is a non-coding RNA of Acanthosepion pharaonis, 102 nucleotides long. Lineage: Eukaryota; Metazoa; Mollusca; Cephalopoda; Sepiida; Sepiidae. The record is from the annotation of a GenBank genome assembly.